AUGGAAUAUUUGGGAUCACAUUCAGGUUGUGCCAUUUGGGAUCCCAUUCAGGAUGCAAUAUUUGGGAUCACAUUCAGGUUGUGCCAUUUAGGAUCACAUUCAGGAUGGAAUAUUUGGGAUCACAUUCAGGCUGUGAUGCUUUGGAAUCACAUUCAGGUUGCUGCCAUUUGGGAUCCCAUUCAGGAUGCAAUAUUUGGGAUCACGUUCAGGU
This is a long non-coding RNA of Tympanuchus pallidicinctus (lesser prairie-chicken), 211 nucleotides long. RefSeq lists it as uncharacterized. The transcript is spliced from 3 exons. Lineage: Eukaryota; Metazoa; Chordata; Aves; Galliformes; Phasianidae. The record is from RefSeq and is a predicted model, not a curated record.